Mytilus californianus (California mussel) is the source of this 366-nucleotide long non-coding RNA. RefSeq lists it as uncharacterized. The transcript has 3 exons. NCBI's taxonomy places the organism in Eukaryota, Metazoa, Mollusca, Bivalvia, Mytilida, Mytilidae. The record is from RefSeq and is a predicted model, not a curated record.
GUAUAUCAGAGUCAACUGUCCGUCGAAGACUGAGAGAAUUUGGUUUAAGCCUGAGAAAGACAACACAUAUCACCGACAUGGAGUUAGAUCAAUCAAUCACUGAAGUGAUUGGUACAAAUCGCCAUAUUGGACCGAAUUCAGUCAGAGUUCGACUUGCACAAAAGAAAAUAUUUGUUUCCAGAGAGAGAGUGAGGACAGCAUGUGCACGUGUAGAUCCAGAUGGAUGUUCCUUACGAUCGUUAGAGAGAAAAAAUAUAAAACGUCGUACUUACAAGGUUGCUGGACCAAAUUCCCUGUGGCAUCUGGAUGGAAACCACAAGUUGAUAUGGUGGGAAAUUGUCAUCCAUGGUGGUAUUGAUGGUUACA